GUGGCCCGGUUAUCUUCUGUCGUGUAGGAGGAAGUCCAGAGCCACGGAAAUUCGCCUGAGUCGAAGCUGUUAAAGAGGCCAAGAAUUCCCAAGCUUUCCCAGGCAAACGGGGAAGAACACUGGGAUGCCUUUUCCUCCUCCUCUGUCCAUCUGCAGGCCAAGUGUGCAUCAGUCACAGGCAAACUCUGAAUUGAGCUUUGUGCAAGUCUCUGGAAAGAGACCCAAGAUCGUGUGAUGAGCAAAAGUGACAGUGCUGGAGGCAGCGACAUCUGCAGAGCCAGCCCCAUCCCUAUCUGCAGCAGAAUAUGUAUGGGGAUCCUUUAUGUGAACAAUCCACCCAGGGUAGAAUGGGGCUUUUGACAUCAGCUGAGACCCAGGCGGCCUUACAAUGAGAGGGCUGUUGGUCAAAGGAAGGACUGUUUAAUGAACUGAGAAUCUGAGGCCAGCUCUGGCCAUCUGCACUUGGAAUCAUUAGAGCAACUCUACUGUAACUGGCAACCUUGAAUAAUGCAGCAAAUUCAUAUUCCAAAAUUGUGAACUUUAAAAUUUUGUGUUUGUGUCUAUGAUGAAAAGCAUUAUAUAAACAUUUGAUACUACAAUUUUAUUAGUAAGGAAGGCUGAAAAAGUAUCUCUCUUUUGACUCUGAGGUCAAUAAUGAUAAUGGCUUUUCCCCUACACUGGGAUAGAAAUGUUCUGUCAAGGAUAUGAAAACACUUUAUGAAAAUGAAAUUCAUUAAAGCCCUUAAUAAUCAGGUAGGGAAGGCAGGUGCUCACAAUUGUCACCUGUUGGUGAGUGAACACCUUAGGCUCGGGGAGGACAAUGACUCAAGAACAAGGUCGAAUUGCAGGUGGGGGGUGAAGCUGAUCCCUAACAGUGUCCUCCAGCCCCUGGCACUGAGGAAGGACAUGGAGGGCUUGCAUCGACUUUUCCUGGCAGGCUUGUGAUUCCCAGCCAGAAUGCAGGUGGCAAUGUUGUGAUUCCUGGCGUAACCUUCAAUGCUUCAAUGAUAAUCUCUGCUGGUGCCAGGCACCAGCUGAGUGUCACUGUGCAGCUCCCAGGCUUAAGUGAUGCAUGCCGAGGUUUUCAGAGCAGUCUCUCAUUUAUUAGUUGUGUUGGAAAGAAAUCUGUACUACCUAACUGGGUACCUCUGGAUUUUAACAGCUGUGGUUUAUAAGAGAUAUGAGAGGGGGUUUGUUUUCAAAGUGCCUUUCACAAAGUAACACCUUAGACUGUAGUUUACAUUCCAUUCCAGUAGGAUAACUUGCAACACUUCUGUGCUCAGAAAUCCAACUGUGCAAGAAAAGUCAGGUUAUAUUUUCAUACAGCCCGUUCUGGCAAAUAUGCCUUCACACCACUUUCCCUCCUCCUCACCGCUAUUGGCAAUAGUCCCAAUGGAAGAGUUUUAUGUCAAAUGCUGAGUAUCUUGGAAGCUGUCCUGCACAGACACGACUGCUUGGCUGCGUGUUGGAGAGUCGCGGUUGGACUGGGAGACCAGGAAGGUCCCUUCUGGUCUGAGAUGUGAUGACUCUAGAACUAAUUAGUUUCAACUCAUAACACGAAAUGAUACUAGCUACCAUUUGGUGGGCUUUUUCUGUGUUCCAGGCUCUGUGCUAAGAUCUUAGCAUUACUCUAAUUACAAAAUCCCUGCCAAUAUUAUCCUCAGUUUACGCAAGAACAAAUGGGUUUAGGGAAAUCAAAAACUUGUCCAAUGACACAGAUUUAAGAUUUAGCAACUGAUGGCCACGUGGAAAUGGAUUACAGAUUAUUCUAAUUGGACACUCUAAACGUGCAAUUUAACCAGAAUGAAAUUUAGGGCUGCGUGCUGUGGCUCAUGCCUGUAAUCCUAGCACUUUGGGAAGCCAGGUGUAUCCCUUAAGCCCAGGAGUUUGAGAGCAACUUGGGCAACAUGGUGAAACCUGUAUCUACAAAAAAUACAAAAAUUAGCCAGGU
Long non-coding RNA from Homo sapiens (human), 1951 nucleotides. Ensembl annotates it as long intergenic non-protein coding RNA 1301. NCBI's taxonomy places the organism in Eukaryota, Metazoa, Chordata, Mammalia, Primates, Hominidae. The record is from Ensembl.